AGGAUAAACGCUGGCGGCGUGCCUAACACAUGCAAGUCGAACGCCCUACGCAAGUAGGGAGUGGCGGACGGGUGAGGAACACGUGGGUUAUCUGCCUUUCGGUGAGGAAUACCAGCGAGAAAUCGCUGACAAUACCGCAUACGGUUCUUUCGAGAGGAAGAACGAAAGUCGUAAGACGCCGGGAGAUGAGCCUGCGCCCGAUUAGUUUGUUGGUGGGGUAAAAGCCUACCAAGACUGCAAUCGGUAGCUGGUCUGAGAGGACGAUCAGCCACACUGGGAUUGAGAACGGCCCAGACUCCUACGGGGGGCAGCAGUGAGGAAUUUUCGUCAAUGGGGGAAACCCUGAACGAGCAACGCCGCGUGCAGGAAGAAGGUUUUCGGAUCGUAAACUGCUUUUCUGUGGGAAGAGAACGGACGGUACCACAGGAAGAACGCCCCGGCUAACUACGUGCCAGCAGCCGC
RNAcentral lists this ribosomal RNA (462 nucleotides) under uncultured bacterium. RNAcentral describes it as "SSU rRNA". It matches the Rfam family "Bacterial small subunit ribosomal RNA", at positions 26 to 518 of the family's 1533-position model. The record is from RNAcentral.